AUUAAAAAGACCAAAAAAAAAUAAAAUUAGAAUGACAUAGAGAAGAUGAGCCUGGCCCCGGUGCAAGGAUGACAAGCAAAAUAGUGAAGUGUUCCGUGUUCUU
Molecule: small nuclear RNA, 103 nt
Filed under: Catagonus wagneri (Chacoan peccary)
Lineage: Eukaryota; Metazoa; Chordata; Mammalia; Artiodactyla; Tayassuidae
Source: RNAcentral